CAGUUGGGGCCUUGGGUUUUUGAGUUUUACGUUACUGAGAAGUGAGAAGAAUUUCCGGAAGGGUAAAAGGCAAUUAGGCAAGAAAUCGAUGCCUGUCCUGUAACUGUAAGUGACAUACGAAACAGUGGUUUCACCCUGAUAGAGCUUUUUAUUGCGUCCUAUUUCUGUCUGUGACGUUUACAACUUUCUUCAACAAUGGCAAACGAGCAGCAGACAUUGCGACCAUGGUUCCUCGACCUAGUACCUUUUUGGUGGUUGUCUUAAUAGCAGCUCAUGUCCUCGCUUUGGUAUACUGGAUUUACAGAUUAGCAACUGAGAGACAACCGCAGCGGAGAAAGGCUCACUAGGAACAGAUUGAUCUGUUAAGCAUUGAAGCCGAAGCAAGUAUGUAAACAAAGUCGAAGAUGACUAAAUAGUGUGUUUUUGUCCAACCUUGUAUAAUAAUGUGGAACAACAUAACAUCAGCCGAUGAAAAUUUGUUGAUGAAUGGUGGAGAUUCAGUAAGGUUCACUGGUGAUCCAAGUUUACCUUGAAGGAAAUUUGGCUGCGGACAUUACAAAAUCGGCAUAACAGAUCUUGAGGGGUUAUUUGGAUCAUCCUGUCCUAGGUCUCUGAACAUCAUUGCUAUUUCAUCUGUAUGGAACUGGUGUUAGCGAGGGCUAAAACGGUCGACUGCUUUGUGGUGUGUCUAGGAUUCAGUUAUGGAUUCUAGUUUGGUCUAUGUGGCCAGUGGGCGUGCUUGAGUUAUAUUUGUCCCCGUUUGCUGUCAUGUAAAUGAAACAUUUUUUAGGCAAUGAAGUUUUCUUUCCGUUUGGCCAA
RNA transcript from Neltuma alba, 819 nucleotides. RefSeq lists it as uncharacterized. NCBI's taxonomy places the organism in Eukaryota, Viridiplantae, Streptophyta, Magnoliopsida, Fabales, Fabaceae. The record is from RefSeq and is a predicted model, not a curated record. The transcript is spliced from 4 exons.